Rostrohypoxylon terebratum is the source of this 103-nucleotide non-coding RNA. Lineage: Eukaryota; Fungi; Ascomycota; Sordariomycetes; Xylariales; Hypoxylaceae. The record is from the annotation of a GenBank genome assembly.
GGGCUUGUGGUUUAGUGGUAUAAUACUCCCUUAGCACUGUUAGGUCCAAAUGGAUAUAAUAUCUACGUGGGAGUGGUCCGGGGUUCGAUUCCCCGCGAGUCCA